AGUGAACGCUGGCGGUAGGCCUAACACAUGCAAGUCGAACGGCAGCACAGUAAGAGCUUGCUCUUACGGGUGGCGAGUGGCGGACGGUUGAGGAAUACAUCGGAAUCUACUUUUUCGUGGGGGAUAACGUAGGGAAACUUACGCUAUUACCGCAUACGACCUACGGGUGAAAGCAGGGGAUCUUCGGACCUUGCGCGAUUGAAUGAGCCGAUGUCGGAUUAGCUAGUUGGCGGGGUAAAGGCCCACCAAGGCGACGAUCCGUAGCUGGUCUGAGAGGAUGAUCAGCCACACUGGAACUGAGACACGGUCCAGACUCCUACGGGAGGCAGCAGUGGGGAAUAUUGGACAAUGGGCGCAAGCCUGAUCCAGCCAUACCGCGUGGGUGAAGAAGGCCUUCGGGUUGUAAAGCCCUUUUGUUGGGAAAGAAAAGCAGCAGGUUAAUACCCCGCUGUUCUGACGGUACCCAAAGAAUAAGCACCGGCUAACUUCGUG
This 492-nucleotide ribosomal RNA is filed under the name uncultured bacterium. RNAcentral's name for it is "partial 16S ribosomal RNA". It matches the Rfam family "Bacterial small subunit ribosomal RNA", at positions 29 to 507 of the family's 1533-position model. The record is from RNAcentral.